Molecule: non-coding RNA, 29 nt
Filed under: Rattus norvegicus (Norway rat)
Lineage: Eukaryota; Metazoa; Chordata; Mammalia; Rodentia; Muridae
Source: RNAcentral
UGGCCGUAAGGAUGUGGAUAGCAUUCUGA